RNAcentral lists this transfer RNA (73 nucleotides) under Scleropages leichardti (spotted bonytongue). RNAcentral's name for it is "tRNA-Lys". It matches the Rfam family "tRNA". Rfam says of the family: Transfer RNA (tRNA) molecules are approximately 80 nucleotides in length. Lineage: Eukaryota; Metazoa; Chordata; Actinopteri; Osteoglossiformes; Osteoglossidae. The record is from RNAcentral.
CACUAAGAAGCUAAACCGGAUCAGCGCUAGCCUUUUAAGCUAGAGACUGGCGGACCCCAUCCGCCCUUAGUGU